GUGACCCAAAACCUCUGCACCGACAGUGGAUUUGUGGAGAGUCACUGACGGGUGAGCUGGUGUGGAGAAGCCUUGGCGAUUCUCUGUGUCCUCACCUGAACACAGCCCUGCCCCCUCCUGAGGUGAAGGCGAGCAGGACUUCUCAGUGCCUUUAUCCAGAGAAAGGAAGCAAAAAGAUCGACUGCCACUUGCCUAGUCCAGGAUCAUCGAGGAGAGUAGAGCCUUUGGGAUGAGACCGUGAGCUCCUGCCCCAAGGGGAGCGGAACGCUGUGAUGACAUCGGUCCCCCCAGGACAAACUUGGAUCAUCUUCUCAGGACCCUUAACUUCAUCACAUCUGCAAAGUCCAUUUUGCCAGCACCCAGGCACCUUCAUCAAAUCCAUGGGCUGCACAGGAAGACCCACUUUUCAUCCAAAGGCAAGGCGACCGAGAAUUCAAGGCACCGGGUGGGUGAAGGAGCUGGGGUGUUGGGUUCCAGGCUUCCCGCCUUUGCUGUCGAAAGGGGAGGGAUGUGGUCACAUCAGGCAGAAGAGGCCGUCAAGGUGCUGAGCACAGGCCAUCCACAGACCCGGAGAGGACGGCCUCGUCCCAGGUUCUUCGAGGAGCCCGCAGCGACAGCACAGCACUCCUCAGCCUGCCCCUUCCUUCACGUCCAGAAUCUUCCAAAUCGCCUGGCUUGGAGCUCUGCACACAUCUGCUUCUUCCGCUUUUCCUCUGCAAGCUCCCCACUCGUGGCCUUUAAUGACCAAGAUGGAGAUAAAAUCCUUCUACAGAAAUGAAACCAGCAUCCAAACCCCCAUAAGAUGGUUUUUCAGAGACGCUAGUCGGCCAUCUUCUCGGUCUGCCAGCUUUCUGAAUAAAGUCGUAUUCCUGGCCCCAACACCUCGUCUCCGAUUCAUUGGCCUGUCGUGCGGCUAGCAGAGCGAGCUUGGACUCGUAACAAGGAGAGAGCUGUGAUUUGAGUCCACAGGCUGCGUGCUCUAGAACCAGGAGGAACUGACGUUGCAGAUGAAGUCUGAAGACCGUCUGCUAGAGGACUCUCCCGUGCUCGGGAGUGGUCAACCUGUUCUAUUCAGGUCUUCAACUGACGGAUGAGGCAUAUACAUGAUGGAGGGCACGUUGCUUUUCUCAAAGUCCACCAAUUUAAAUGUAAAUCUCAACCAAAAACAUCCUCACAGCAACAUCCAGAAUAAGGUUUGACCAAAUAUCGGGGCACCAUGGCCCAGACAAGUUGACACAUAAAAUUAGCCAUCACACUUGCUUUCCAAAAUCAGAGCUUUGCAGUUACUUUACUGACUUUUAAUUUAACCACAUUGUGGUAACAGAACAUGCUCUAUGAGGUUUUGAUCCCUUUAAAUGUGCUGAAACAUGUUUUACAGCCCAGCAUAUGGUCUAUCCUGAUGAACUAUCCGUGUACAGUUCAAAGAGUGUGCAGUUUAUAGUUACUGUGUGGUUGACUGUGUUAUCUAAUUGUGCAAUAAAUUACGAAGAAAGUGGUGAUAAAAUCUCCAACUAUGAUUGUACUUGCAUCUGUUUUUCCAUUUAGUUCUGCCAGUUGUUGCUUCAGGUAUUUUGAAGCUCUUUUAUUCAGUAUGUGCAUAUUUAUGGU
This is a long non-coding RNA of Physeter macrocephalus (sperm whale), 1608 nucleotides long. RefSeq lists it as uncharacterized. The record is from RefSeq and is a predicted model, not a curated record. The transcript is spliced from 5 exons. Lineage: Eukaryota; Metazoa; Chordata; Mammalia; Artiodactyla; Physeteridae.